Molecule: small nuclear RNA, 162 nt
Filed under: Marmota marmota marmota (Alpine marmot)
Lineage: Eukaryota; Metazoa; Chordata; Mammalia; Rodentia; Sciuridae
Description: U1 spliceosomal RNA (ENSMMMG00000008146.1)
Rfam family: U1 spliceosomal RNA
About the family: U1 is a small nuclear RNA (snRNA) component of the spliceosome (involved in pre-mRNA splicing). Its 5' end forms complementary base pairs with the 5' splice junction, thus defining the 5' donor site of an intron. There are significant differences in sequence and secondary structure between metazoan and yeast U1 snRNAs, the latter being much longer (568 nucleotides as compared to 164 nucleotides in human).
Source: RNAcentral
AAACUUACCUGACAGCGGAAACACCACAGUCACGUAGGUAGUUUUCCCAGGCCACGGCUUCUCCAUUGCACUUGAGAGGUGCUAAUACCUUUGAUUUCCCCGAAUGUGGGAAACAAGGCUGCAUGAUUUGUGGUAGUAGGGAUUGCGUUAGCGCGCUCCCCA